CAAUGAUGAUGUCACUGAUUCUACUGCUGGCCACCCUGGGGCUCCUUGUUCAGGAUUCAUCAGGAGAAAUCAUCCUGACUCAGUCUCCUGGAGCUCAGUCUGUUGUUCUAGGACAGACUUUCUCUCUCAGAUGUAAAGCCAGUUCACAUGUUAGCAAUGAGGUAGAGUGGUACCUUCAGAAACCUGGAGAAGCCCUUAAACUCCUGAUUUACUGGGCUACAAACCGUCAGUCUGGAGUUUCAGACCGUUUCAGUGGGAGUCAGUCUGGAACUGACUUCACUUUGACCAUCAGAGGAGUCCAGACUGAAGAUGCUGGAGUUUAUUACUGUCAGCAGGAUUACAGUCGUCCGUUCACACAGUGAUACAACGUCGUACAAAAACCUCCCUCAGCUGGAGAGGAACUGAUCUGAAUCAACAGCUGCAGAGUUAUAGAAACACUUUAGUAAUUUACUGACAAUGAAGUCCAACACAUUAAAACUAGUUUUUUUCUGACAUGAAUUUUCAUGUUUCCUUUAUAAAUUAGAUUUAAAAUAAAUCAGAUGUAACUUGAAAUUCACACGUUUUAUAUUGAAGUCACACAGAUUUCAACAAACUUAAACACACAUGCUGUAUUUUGAGACAAAACUACUAAUUCUGACACUGUUGUGAUAUAAUAUGCUGAUAAUUGAAAUGCAACAAAUUUAUCAUAGACUUUAAUCAGAUUCAUGAAACUUUCAAGACAUUAAACCCAUUUCAACAUGAGAGUUUCCACCAAUAGCACUCUUCAUUUAUAAGACACAUAUUGUAAAUCUGAUUUACCUUGAACUAGUUUAAAAAAAUAGCUUUGUCACUAAAAAACUAAUUUGCAGUUUGUGUAAUGAAGCAGUUUCUGCUGUCUAGCUUUAAGGAAUCUCGAACAAAUAAUGUCUUGGUUGCUUUAAUGUUACAUUAAUGAUUAUCUGAUUAAUUCCUCUGAAAACAUUACGUAAUUUAAACGCUGCAUUAAAUUAUUUUAUAAUUUAAAA
This is a non-coding RNA of Micropterus salmoides (largemouth bass), 1004 nucleotides long. The record is from the annotation of a RefSeq genome assembly. Lineage: Eukaryota; Metazoa; Chordata; Actinopteri; Centrarchiformes; Centrarchidae.